GCCGGGGUAGCUCAGCGGUAGAGCAAUAGUUUUGUAAACUAUAGGUCGCAGGUUCAAUUCCUGUCCCCGGCU
This 72-nucleotide transfer RNA is filed under the name Candidatus Buchananbacteria bacterium RIFCSPHIGHO2_01_FULL_46_12. RNAcentral's name for it is "tRNA-Thr". It matches the Rfam family "tRNA". From Rfam's summary of the family: Transfer RNA (tRNA) molecules are approximately 80 nucleotides in length. The record is from RNAcentral. Lineage: Bacteria; Candidatus Buchananiibacteriota.